GUGACCUCAAAUCAGGUAGGACUACCCGCUGAACUUAAGCAUAUCAAUAAGCGGAGGAAAAGAAACUAACAAGGAUUCCCCUAGUAACUGCGAGUGAAGCGGGAAAAGCUCAAAUUUAAAAUCUGGCGGUCUUUGGCUGUCCGAGUUGUAAUCUAGAGAAGUGUUAUCCGCGCUGGACCGUGUACAAGUCUCCUGGAAUGGAGCAUCAUAGAGGGUGAGAAUCCCGUCUUUGACAUGGACUGCCAGGCUUUGUGAUGC
RNAcentral lists this ribosomal RNA (258 nucleotides) under uncultured Cortinarius. Its description in RNAcentral is "partial 28S ribosomal RNA". It matches the Rfam family "Eukaryotic large subunit ribosomal RNA", at positions 1 to 252 of the family's 3401-position model. Lineage: Eukaryota; Fungi; Basidiomycota; Agaricomycetes; Agaricales; Cortinariaceae. The record is from RNAcentral.